Molecule: RNA transcript, 1162 nt
Organism: Glycine soja
Lineage: Eukaryota; Viridiplantae; Streptophyta; Magnoliopsida; Fabales; Fabaceae
Gene name: tropinone reductase-like
Exons: 5
Source: RefSeq, a predicted model, not a curated record
GUAUCGGAUAUCUUAAUAAAUAAACAAAUAAAAAAAGUAUCGGAUAUCUCAAAGGUUUAUCCUUCAGUGAAGAGAAAUGGCAGCUGAGGCAAAUUUUGAUAGCAAAAGCAGCAGGUGGUCUUUGCAGGGGAUGACAGCUCUCGUUACCGGUGGUUCCAAAGGAAUCGGAUAUGCUAUCGUGGAGGAGUUGGCACAACUUGGAGCCACUGUACACACUUGCGCUCGCAACGAAGCUGAACUCAAUAAAUCCUUAAAUGAAUGGAACACAAAAGGAUACAGAGUAAUUGGUUCGGUCUGUGACGUGGCGUCUCGUGCAGAAAGACAAGACCUCAUAGCUAGAGUCUCAAAUGAGUUUAUGGCAAACUCAAUAUCCUUGUAAACAAUGUGGGAACAAACAUACAGAAAGAGACCCUGGAUUUCACAGAGGAAGAUUUCACAUUUCUGGUGAAUACGAAUCUUGAAUCUUGUUUCCACCUAAGCCAGCUUGCACAUCCUCUCCUAAAAGCUUCAGAAGCUGCAAACAUCAUUCUCAUAUCCUCCAUUGCUGGUGUGGUAGCUUCAAAUAUAGUAUCCGUUGUGUAUGGUGCAACAAAAGGAGCAAUGAACCAAAUGACAAAACAUUUGGCAUGUGAAUGGGCCAAAGACAAUAUAAGGACUAAUUGCGUUGCACCAGGGCCAAUUAGAACCCCUCUUGGUGACAAGCACUUUAAAGAGGAAAAACUUAAUAAUAGUCUGAUUGCGCGAACCCCUCUUGGACGGAUUGGAGAGGCAGAGGAGGUUUCUUCGUUGGUGGCAUUCCUCUGCUUACCUGCAGCAUCUUACAUAACAGGACAAACCAUUUGUGUUGAUGGCGGCUUCACCGUGAACGGUCUCUACAUAAGCUAGGCUUAUUGUGACAGUUUCAAUGUUUUGUUUAGUCUGUUACACUCUACUUGUAUUAGUUUCUGUUUAAGUUGUGGAGAGUGGAGACCCUAUAUCUGUUUUUAAGGACGUGAUAAUAACAGUACUCAGUGAUAAGUUUGUUUUUCUUGUUUUGAUUUAGUCACAUGUCCCAUGAUUCUAGGAGCAGUAUAAUCGUGGGCAGUUUAUCCUAUUUCCCGUUGGUUGUAAGGCUUUCAAUAAUAAUAAUAAUAAUAAUAGCCAUGUUUGCUUUUCAAUUCAA